Molecule: long non-coding RNA, 843 nt
Organism: Xyrauchen texanus (razorback sucker)
Lineage: Eukaryota; Metazoa; Chordata; Actinopteri; Cypriniformes; Catostomidae
Exons: 4
Source: RefSeq, a predicted model, not a curated record
UGGUACUCACGAGAACGGCACAGCAGAUUCCAAAGACACAAGCAACAAUAAGGAAAGCCUUCAUGGUUCUCAAUAACCUCUUAUCUAGAGAAAGAUUAUAUUAUGUUUAAAUUGCUUUGGAUCAGAUCGUCUGCUAAAUGAACCAAGGUAUGAAAACAGCAUGUGGGAAAUGCUUUAUAAACACAUUAUCAACAUGAUGGUCACAGAGAGACAGGAGCUGGAGCAGGAGCGGGGGCAGGAGCAGGAGCUGGAGCAGGAGCGGGGGCGGGAGCUGGAGCAGGAGCAGGGGCUGGUGCAGGGGCAGAUGCCAGCUGUGCUAAGAGCAACGGUAAGAGGUUGAGGAAAGCAUUGUUGUUUUGAGGUGGCCGGUAAAUGGGUAUGUAAGAUGGAUAGGGACGCUGAAACUGGUAUGGGUUGUAGAAGCCUCCAAACCCUCUCUGCAGUAAAACCAAUAGAAAAUAGGAGGCAAAUAUAAAAAUAAAGACUAAACAAAUGACAUACAAAUGAUCCCAAAUGCAUUUAAUCACAGUGUUCUUCCAUAACACAUAUUGCAGUAAUAUUUGCUAUGAUUUGGUUAAUAUUUGCACUAAGGUAAAAAAAUAUAGUAAUACAAUUAAAAUGAAUUAAUCAAAUGGUAAUAAAUCAAGAUAUCAAGAGAACGUGCAUGUGUGUGUGCAGAGAGUCUUAGCAUUCAAACGAACCUCUGAGGAACGGCUUGAUGAGCGCUUCUCUCGUGGUUCUUCAUCUGCCUGUGAAAAUUAUUAAUUUUGUAAUUUUGUUACUUCCUAUCUGCAUAACAUUUCCCAUGUUAUAAAAAUUUUACAAAACAAUUGCACUUAAAUA